UCCAGAAAAUGGCAUUUCCAAAUGGUGUAGAAUCUGCACAAGAACUCCUUGACGCUCAAGCUCAUGUUUGGAACAAUUUCUUUACAAUCCUCACCGAGCCAACAUGACUCUUUAUAUCAUGGACGGAGAGAAUAUAAAUAUUGUUCUCCAUCCAUCCCACUACAAGUGAAUGUGGAUAUUGCACAACUGGAGCGACGAAGAUUGUGUUGCCAUACUAAAGAAAUGCAAGGAAGCCACAGCUUCGAGCAUCAACAAUGAGAGGAAGGUGAUUAUUAUGGACAUGAUUGUGGGUGAAGAUAGAGAAGAUGAUGAAGCUACUGAAACUAAGCUCCUUUUUGAUGUUCGAGUUCUGGCUCUGGCUGCAGGGAAAGAAAGAUCCAUGAAAGAAUGGGCCAACAUCUUCUAUGCUUCUGGCUUCACAAGAUAUAAUAUUACUCCCUUAGGAUUGAGGUCUGUGAUUGAGGUUUAUCCUUAAUUGUGUUCUGUUUAUUGUCUUGUUUAAAAUAAGAUCAUCUCUACUUGAAACAUGUCAUAAAUUGUUGUGUUUGUCUAUAUCAAAUGUAUUUCUGUUUUCUAGUCAAUGUGUGUCUAUGUGUCACUUAAUAAUGUGUAUUUUACUUUUAUAAUUGAUAUUAAGAUCGAUUAAUGUUUGUAGAUA
Molecule: non-coding RNA, 658 nt
Organism: Salvia hispanica
Lineage: Eukaryota; Viridiplantae; Streptophyta; Magnoliopsida; Lamiales; Lamiaceae
Source: RefSeq, a predicted model, not a curated record